Molecule: ribosomal RNA, 279 nt
Filed under: uncultured bacterium
Lineage: Bacteria
Description: partial 16S ribosomal RNA
Rfam family: Bacterial small subunit ribosomal RNA
Source: RNAcentral
UGCCAGCCGCCGCGGUAAUACGGAGGGUGCAAGCGUUGUUCGGAUUUACUGGGCGUAAAGUGUGUCUAGGUGGGAAGAUAAGUCAGGUGUGAAAGACCGGGGCUCAACCUCGGAAUUGCGCCUGAAACUAUUUUUCUUGAGUCAUGGAGAGGUAAGCGGAAUUCCUAGUGUAGCAGUGAAAUGCGUAGAUAUUAGGAAGAACACCAAAGGCGUAGGCAGCUUACUGGCCAUGUACUGACACUGAAGCACGAAAGCGUGGGGAGCAAACAGGAUUAGAUA